Xenia sp. Carnegie-2017 is the source of this 445-nucleotide long non-coding RNA. RefSeq lists it as uncharacterized. The record is from RefSeq and is a predicted model, not a curated record. The transcript is spliced from 2 exons. NCBI's taxonomy places the organism in Eukaryota, Metazoa, Cnidaria, Anthozoa, Malacalcyonacea, Xeniidae.
GCUAGAAGCUAAAAUACUCCUGUCUUUGAGAAAACCUACAAGGAGAUAGAAGAAGAGGAAAUCAAUUUCUCUUUUCAUUUUAGGUAGUGAUGUAGCCAAGAAAAAUGGAGCUUUUACUCUAAUUAUGUGUGUCUGGCCCAUAUUUACUGUUGUCAUCUUAUAUGUAGUGUAAUGAGUAACGAAAAAGUAAUUGAACAAAACAUUUAUUUUCAUAGCACUGGUAGACUUGCUAUACGCUACGAGUUGUCAUGGUGUUAUUCCUGAAUUCUGAUAUCUUCCUUUGAUUCUUAUUUUUUUAUUUUCCGUAAAUUAUACAUGUAUUUAAUAAAAUAUACAUUUAAGUUGAUUUAUCCAAAGGGGAGCCCCCACGGUCUAGGGAUGUAAGUUCUUGAUACAGGGUGUUUCAAAAAAGGUAAUACAACUUUUACUUGUUGAUGUGUGUAAA